This 512-nucleotide unclassified non-coding RNA is filed under the name uncultured Bartonella sp. RNAcentral's name for it is "partial 16S-23S ribosomal RNA intergenic spacer". The stretch from base 118 to 191 matches the Rfam family "tRNA". Lineage: Bacteria; Pseudomonadati; Pseudomonadota; Alphaproteobacteria; Hyphomicrobiales; Bartonellaceae. The record is from RNAcentral.
AUCAAAAGCUUUAAGAAAAGCUCUUUGUUUUUUGAAAUGGUGCUUUUAUGAGAUAGAGAUUUUUUAGAUAAUGCUUUUUUAGAUAAUGCUGGGGAAGGUUUUCCGGUUUAUCUCGGAGGGCUUGAAGCUCGGUGGGUUAGAGCGCGCGCUUGAUAAGCGUGAGGUCGGAGGUUCAAUUCCUCCCAGGCCCACCAAUUUACCUAUCCAUUUGCCUUUAUCUGUUUAUUUGCCGAUUUAUCGGUCCAUUGAAUUUAAAUGUUGGUAGCAGUUUUAUAAUGAUGAAAAAUCAUGCUUAUAAAAGAACUCCUUAUAAAAGGUUUGUUUUUAAAAUGUGACGCUUAUCCAUUUCCCUUAGGCAAGAAAAACUUCAAGCGGUUUAAAUGCAAAAGACUUUAAAUUUUGCAAAACACUUUGAAUUUUGCAAAACACUUUAAUUUUAAAGUGAUCCAAGUUCGUGAUCUCGAAUUUAAAAGUUUCGAAUGAUUUAUCCUUUUUGGGGGGCCGUAGCUCUU